This 492-nucleotide ribosomal RNA is filed under the name uncultured bacterium. RNAcentral's name for it is "partial 16S ribosomal RNA". It matches the Rfam family "Bacterial small subunit ribosomal RNA", at positions 36 to 507 of the family's 1533-position model. The record is from RNAcentral.
CCUUCCCUCUGGCGGCGUGCCUAAUACAUGCAAGUCGAGCGGCAGGACAAUAAGAUUUUUUCUCUGCUGUUAGCGGGGGACGGGCGAGUAACGCAUACAUAACCAACUUAUAUGUCUGGGAUGACUACGGGAAGAAAGUGAUGCUACUACCUCAUAUUUUCUACGGGUUAGUUCAAAAGUUCUAGACGGCUUUGGCGUUUCUAUUAGCCGAUGUCGGAUUAGCUAGUUGGCUUGGUAAGGUAACACCAAGGCAACGAUACGUAGCUGGUCUGAGAGGAUGAUCAGCCACACUGGAACUGAGACACGGUCCAGACUCCUACGGGAGGCAGCAGUGGGGAAUAUUGGACAAUGGGCGAAAGCCUGACGGAGCAAUACCGCGUGGGUGAAGAAGGCCUUCGGAUCGUAAAGCCCUGUUGUUGGGGAAGAAAAGAUGUAGAAGAAACUGCCGAUGUCCUGACGGUACCUAAUGAGUAAGCACCGGCUAACUUCGUG